UGCUCCGUGGCUCAGUUGGUUAGCGCGUGCGACCGUUAAUCGCGAGGUCGAGGGUUCGAGCCCCUCCGGAGCAA
This 74-nucleotide transfer RNA is filed under the name Pavlovales sp. CCMP2436. RNAcentral's name for it is "tRNA-Asn". It matches the Rfam family "tRNA". From Rfam's summary of the family: Transfer RNA (tRNA) molecules are approximately 80 nucleotides in length. Their secondary structure includes four short double-helical elements and three loops (D, anti-codon, and T loops). Further hydrogen bonds mediate the characteristic L-shaped molecular structure. tRNAs have two regions of fundamental functional importance: the anti-codon, which is responsible for specific mRNA codon recognition, and the 3' end, to which the tRNAs corresponding amino acid is attached (by aminoacyl-tRNA synthetases). tRNAs cope with the degeneracy of the genetic code in two manners: having more than one tRNA (with a specific anti-codon) for a particular amino acid; and 'wobble' base-pairing, i.e. permitting non-standard base-pairing at the 3rd anti-codon position. The record is from RNAcentral. Lineage: Eukaryota; Haptophyta; Pavlovophyceae; Pavlovales.